UUCGAUUCAAACUCUUUCAACCUUAAAUCUUUGCCCGGAAAGCUUCAUCGACAUCAUCUGAAGCUAAUUGUAUCAUCACUUUGCCUUGGAACUUCUUGCAUUGUGCUUCCUAUUUCUGCCAUUGUUGACCUUCAAAGCUUCAAAUGGAAAGGUAGCUACGAGUUAAAUACCUGAGCAAACAAGUUAUCAGUCUCUUCACAUUGUUCCACUGUUCAAAUGCC
This 221-nucleotide long non-coding RNA is filed under the name Lathyrus oleraceus (garden pea). RNAcentral's name for it is "Pisum sativum (pea) long non-coding RNA (PSAT_LNC040885)". Lineage: Eukaryota; Viridiplantae; Streptophyta; Magnoliopsida; Fabales; Fabaceae. The record is from RNAcentral.